This 220-nucleotide ribosomal RNA is filed under the name Clostridium sp. enrichment culture clone gl7. RNAcentral's name for it is "partial 16S ribosomal RNA". It matches the Rfam family "Bacterial small subunit ribosomal RNA", at positions 978 to 1199 of the family's 1533-position model. The record is from RNAcentral. Lineage: Bacteria; Bacillati; Bacillota; Clostridia; Eubacteriales; Clostridiaceae.
AGACUUGACAUCCCCUGAAUUACCUGUAAUGAGGGAAGCCCUUCGGGGCAGGGAGACAGGUGAUGCAUGGUUGUCGUCCGCUCGUGUCGUGAGAUCUUAGGUUAAGUCCUGCAACGAGCGCAACCCUUAUCAUUAGUUACUACCAUUAAGUUGAGCUUUCUAGUGAGACUGCCCGGGUUAACCGGGAGGAAGGUGGGGAUGACGUNNAAUGAGUCAUGCC